AAAAUACUCUCUCCGUCCGGAAUUACUUGUCGCAAAAUUGAAUAGGAAUGAAUGUAUCUAGAACUAAAAUACAUCUAGAUACAUCCAUUCCUCGGACAAGUAUUUCCGGAUGGAGGGAGUAGCUA
This is a non-coding RNA of Hordeum vulgare subsp. vulgare (domesticated barley), 125 nucleotides long. Lineage: Eukaryota; Viridiplantae; Streptophyta; Magnoliopsida; Poales; Poaceae. The record is from Rfam.